AUUUCUGUUCAGCACGUCACAUUUGUUCUUGCAAACAAAAUUGUUGCAGCUGCUAACAAGCACUAGAGAUAAAACUUGGAUAAGAAGAAACUCAACAGUUGGAACGAACUCGGUUCUCCAUCUUUCACAUUCUUCACAACUCAACAAGUAGAAUUUAACCAGCAUGAAAAGUGACAAGCUCAUAUUCAAUAAGUGAAAAAUUGUUGUCCUCCUUCACAUUGAAGUUUGCCGGUUCAGUGACUUCAACGAGGCCCCAUUUGUCCACAGCAAGCCUCAUUGUUGUCCCUUUGAACAUAUCAAUCUUUGCAUUGCGGAGAAUAACAGUUUUGCCGGUCAACUGCCAUCAGGUAUAUGCUUGUUAGAUACCCCCAUGUAAAACCUUUUUAACCAUAUAUCAGUCAGACAAACGUGCAUUGAUGUUGAGCGUGUCCUAACAGACGAGUCGAGGAUCAACAAAUUUUAGUAAAGUAUAUAAAAGGAACAUAUUAGAAGAGGAUUUAACUUGUUUUGUUCAUAAGCCCAGAGAGUAGACUUGCCAGAUGAUCAUUUAUUAACCUAUUGUUAUCACGAGAAGCAACAUUACAAUAACAUGAGGCACAUAAUAUGAAUUUUAUGAACAAUCAGCUGUCUAACAAGUACAAUACUAAAUAUAUGCUUGAAUGAUAUACUAAUGAGUCUGAAAACAUUUAUUGGCAAAUGUGCCUGGGUGAACAUUGGAGCAAGAGUUCUGUCAAGGGGUACAAAAUAAUUUCCGUGCAGAAAGAGAUCUGUCAAGAGUUUACAAAUAAUCAUUCCAUUAUUCCAAUUCAUACUCCUUCGGUUUGGAAUACAAGAUGUUUUUUUUUUUGUAGUUACUCCAUUAGGCGGGCAGAGCAGAGUAAAAUCAUGCGAUAUGAGUUGACAGUGAUAAAAAAAGAGAGCAAAUUUUAAGGAACCACAGUUCUCGGGGCAGUGUUCUCACAGAACAUCACAUUUCGUUAAUUUUCUCAAAUAACCACCCUUCUUCGGACUAAUUGUCUCAAUUGCCCCAAAACUGAUGGUUAAGCGCAUUUGACACAUUUCCUUACAGGUGGGGUCCACUGUCAGGUCCACACUUGAUGCCAAAUAUUAUUAAAAUUUCCACACAAAACAGAAUAAAAUUUCCAUCAGACAUCGAUGCCACCUAACGGUAGGGUAUGCGCCCGACGUGGCACCUGACAGUGGGCCCCACCUGUAAGGAAACAUGUCAAACGCGCUUAACCAUCGGUUUUGGGCCACUUGAGAAGAUUAGUUGAAGUGUGUUUUUCCCAAAAAAAUAACGAAAUGUGUCAUUCUGUGAGAAGACUGCCCUGAGAACCGGAGACUCUUUGAAAUUUACUGGAAAAAAAACAGUAUCUAUUGAUGCAUGACCAUCUUUCCUUGGAUUAAAAUAUUGCAGCAGCAGCUUGAGUGAAAAAAAAGAAGUAAGUGCAGCUUAACCACUAUACGAGUAGGUGCGGUAGUGUUUUUACAAACCAGAUGAACCCGGUUCAGAUUUCACAUGACAUAGUACAACAAACAGUACUCCCUUCCUUAUCACGCGACAAUAACUCACGGCUGACGUGAUGAAUGAUCAUGUGGAGAGGAGCAAGAGGUAUUUAAAACCUCACGCUGCCAAAAUGCUCGGGGCCGGGCAAGUUUAACUUUGAUCACUUGCAUGGAUGCUCCUUGUCCGUAGCCCAUGACUUCCAUCAAUGCGAGACUUGUGCAAAUGUCUCCUGGCUGGAUCUCACACUCACGCAGCAGCGCGCACCAAAUCCCACUGCGCGCCAUGCACGCUCUCGGCCACCAGCCCACCACCCGCAAUCCCCGCAUCAUCGCACGGGGCCCUUUCCAAUCUAUCCCUGUGUAAUCAGUUUGCCUUUCCUUCCUCUUACCAUCGUUUGCUACCAAAAGCGGUCCAAUUAUCCCAGACCCACAUCAUAUCGGUGGAAGGUGGUGCUAUAUAUACAAGCCGGAAGGCGCGCACGGAAACAAACGGACCUGCCGUGCUCGUUGCGUUCGUUGUAGAGUACUGCCACCAGCUUCCACCGACGACGACGUACGCUUCCAUGGCUUCCUCUGCAGCACCCAGUCUCUUCCUCCUGGCCGUGGCGUUCCUCGCCCUCCCGGCGCCCCGCGUGGACGCGUGGGGUGGCCGCUUCUUCUUCAGCAAGAUGGCGCCCCCCGAAGCCGUCGAGGCCGACCACGCGCCGGCCACCACCGUGGCAACAGAAGCGUUCGACCCCCACGCCAACAGCGCGCCGGCAUUCCCGUCCCGGCCUUCCAGCAACAGCAACAACCGCGGCUACGGCCUCUACGGGCGCCCAGAGGAGGAUGAGGAAGAGAACUACCCGCCGGCCUACUUCCGCCGCGGCGUGCACCACGACGCCGAGAAGCUUACCACCACGACCAACGUGGUGCCGCACGAGAAGGAGGCCGCCGCGGGGCGAGAAACAGAAUCAUCGGGCGAAGGCGAGGAAACGAGCACCGGGCCGUUGUUCCCGGAGGACGGCAGCGGCAGGGGCCGGCCGCUGUCGUACGUGCGCGCCCGGCGGGGGGGAGGCAACAAGCACGGGCGCGACGACUACGGGAUGAGCGACACGAGGCUGUACGAGAACGGCCGGUACUACUACGACGUGGCCACCGACAAGUACGGCUACGGCUACGAGUCCAACCCGGUGCGGACGCCGCGCCCCGUUCAGGACAACGGCUCGGGCUACGGCCGCGAUCCCCGCCGGUCCGGGAGGUAUGCAGGCGACAAUGCGGCUGCUGGAUCAUACGAGAGCAGGAACCGCGACGGGUUCGGCGCCGGUGGGAAUGGGAUGGCGGAGAAGCAGAGCAACGACGACGGCUUCCAGAGAAACCAGAAUGGACAGUACAUUCCAUGAGUGGGACGAGGCAUGCAUGCGCAUGUUUAAGCUUGCGAUCAUCAAACAUAUUACGCGAUAUAUUUGCUUGUUAAGAUAUGUAACACCACUGUAGUCUACUACUACGUUGCUCCUUGUGUAUGCUGCAAGCUAGCUAGUACACUUCGUUCGUUACCCCUGCUUAAAGUCUGAGCUAGCUGCCAAUUAAUGUGGAAUGGCGAUGGAACGUACGUACGGAUUACAAAUAAUUUGUGUGGAAUGUACUAUACUACAGUGUUGUUAGCAAAUGUUUCUGUUCAUUUUGUCGGUGCACGUACGGGCCCAAUUCGCGUGCUACAGAGAAUGAGGGGAGGGUGUGUGAUAAAUCAUGCCUCAAGGCGUGCGUGACUGAUUGAGUGUCAUAUUUUUCGUGUCUGCGUUGUGCAACACCGGGCUUAAAAAGAUUCCAAUUUCGCACGAACAUUGUACGGCCCAGUGUCUUUUGGCACAAAAAAAAAAAGUAGCGCAGUGUCUAUUCCGAGGGCACCUACCUCGCGCAGUCAAUUUGCUUUCUUCACGUCGAUGCAUGGUUGAUGAAGUGGCGCGCGAUAAUAUCAACAGACAAAGACAAAACUGCAUCAACAAGUAGGCCAACAAGUGUCCUCGUCCAAGGACAAAGGUGCACGGCGAAGCUGCAGUUCCGGCUUGGCUACUUGCAUCGGAUCCCGCUGGCGACACCAACCAAACAAUGAAACAACGACGACCCAUCAACCAAUCAGUCCAUGACCGUGUGUAGGCUGCACAGCUGGAUCACUGCACCACUUUAAUCGGUGCAACAAACCCUUCGGUUCAUUAAACCCGCCCCUCGAAAGCACAAUGCUUUUUGCUCGGAAGUAGAUGUGUAUUGACACCGUUAGGUUUGGGGCACAGUGCUGCUUCCUUGCUCCUCAGAUUCAGGCCACGAAACGAAUCGCGAUGGCCAUGGACCGGACUUCAUGGGCCAGAUGAAUCUUAGCCCAAACCAGAAAGUUGCGAGGCAGGAUUGGGGGCCUGAUUGUCAAUGGGCCGGUCGAUAAUGUCAAGAUGCGCAACCACAGCAUGCAACCAUGGCGUUGUCCAGCCCAACUGCCUGUAGGGUUUUAGCCUCGCUCUCUCCUUCCUGCCGCGCGCCACCGUACCACGCACACGCCGCGCCCAGCCGCAAUGGCCGCCGCCGCCGCGAGAUCCUUCCUCCGAUCCGCACCCGCCGCCUCCUCCUCCCUCCGUGGAUCGGCCGCCAGAGCCGCUUCCCGUGCAUGUCCGCCUCCGCUCCCGAGGCGGUUCCCGGCCUCUGCUCCCCGCGUCCUCCUAAGGUACGAGGGCUCUUGGUUACUGGGAGGUUAGUUUUUCGAUUCCCAUUCACUUGAUCUGGAUGAGAAUUUUCUGUAUCCGUGUUUCGGCAUCUGGAGGUCCCCGGUGGAGAUGACCAGCUUCUGCGUGGAGUCGCUGAUGCCCAUGCACAGUGCCACGGCGUCGGCGCUCAUGACGUCUCUCCUCGCUGCCCCGGCUCGCACGGGGUUUGGCUGGCUUUCAGAAGGUGAUUUCCCUUAUAUUUCUGUUUUUCUUCUGUUUCUGCAAUGUUAGAUGGCUUCAGUUAUGAAGCAUAUUUGUUUGUGGCUAUGGAGUAUGGACUGCAUAGUAGAUUUGUUUGUUAAUAAAAUAAUCAGGCCGAUGUACAGGUCUAGUACUGAGUGAUAAUUAUAGGAUUUAGCUGUGUAUUAAGUGCGCAUUUAAGCAUGUCUUAUUAUUUGUCGACAAGUGAACACAAUAACUCAAAUGAGUUCGUUGUCUGCCCUGGCCAGAAUGCUAUUCUGUUCUGCUCGUAUGUUAUUUGAGCUCUGACAUUGUGUGAAACCUCAAUCUAAUUCUGCCUCCUGCACCUAAGUGUCGGCCCAACUUGAACAAUGAGCCCCCAUUGCCACUGAACAGACUACCAAGCAAAUUAGUAAAAGUUGGGUGCAUAUCAGUCUCCAACUCUCCGCCCCUUUGGCCCUUCGUAUGUGUCAAUACAACUUUCGCCAGAACUAACAUGUUUUUCAUGGUUUUUAUUUAUGUUUUGUUUUAAUCCUUAUUGUCAACUUCUUUAGAUCUGAUAGGAAGAAAAGCCCAUUUUUAUGCAUCUGUGUUUACAAGGAUACUCAUCGUUGGCAAUUUUCUAGUUAUACGAACAGUUUCGAAUAUUUCAAAUGAAGCUAAAGCUUACUUGGACUAGACAGGCUAGUGUUACGUCUCAUGCAGGUCUUACAUUUCUUGACAUUAUUUCUAAAGUGUCUCAUAUCCGUUAUGUAUAAUUAUAUUUAGGGAGAGUUUUGUCAGACUUAUAUAAAUGUAAUUCAUUUUUGUCUAGAUAUAAAUAGAAAACACCAUGAAAUGUCCCAUUUGAAACCAGUCUUAUACUUCCACGUGGUCCUUGUUGUAGGUCAAGACAAAACUAGAUGAACAUGAAGCCCCAAAAGGUGAAUAAAACAUAAGGGCUCACUAAUAACUGUUGAUGGUUAGGUUCCUUCACUAAGUUAUGGCUGAGAAGGAUUCAUGGAAAGAGGAGACAAUUGCACUUACAAAGGAAUUACGCCAAAGUUCAUUUAUGGGGCCGAUCAUAGGCAUGUAACAUGACAUUAAAACAAUACCAGAUAAUGUAUUGAGUUUGACCUUCUAUUGUUUCUUCUAGUCUUGCAAACUGUGUUAGUCCAAAUUUUCCAUCCCAAAACAAUUGUCUUGCCUAAAGAAAACCCGCCUCUAAAUACAGUUAAUCUUGAACGAUCCACAUUGUAGGUGUCUUGUUGACUGUUUGGCCAUACCAGAGACCCUUUCUGGAAAAGCUUUCCUUUGGUUUAAAGCUAUUGUACAUUUAGUAUUUAAAUAGAAUGGUGUUAUAAUUUGAACAUGCAUAUAGUCAGGAAUGACAUAUUUGAGGCAAAAGUGUCACUGAUUCUUUUGUAUUGACCCAGCUGGCAAUGAUGAUGUAUGACAAUUUCUAGGUGGAAUGUAGCAGAUUAUAACCUCCUCACGUCGAACAUACAGGUCUGGUCAGAUUUUUAGUAGUAUCCAUGAUUCAUGAUAGCAUAUCUUUAUGGGGGCUCUAUAAUGUUCCUUCCAUGGUUUACACAAGAAUGCAAGAUGCCUAAAAUAUGCGUUUGUAAAAAUACCAUAUCUGCUGCAGCAAAGACGUAUCAUUUUCUUGCAUGUGAUAAAUAAAUACACCUAUGUUGAUAUGCCUGUGGCUGAGUACAUUCUAGGACUCGGUCCUCCCCAUUUCGCCUGUCAUCUGAAAGCCAUAGCAUUUCCACCAUGUUUCAUUAAAAGGUCAUUUUUAUUAGUAUCACUUUUAGAAAGUUUACUUUGCCUUGCAUGUGAAAAACAUAAAUGUGUCAGGUUUCCUUUUUAUCUUGUUUUUUUGACAAAUGGUCAGGCUUGUCUCAUUUUUAUAUCAAAGGGUAUUAGACAUCUUUUUAUUACAUUAGAUACAAAUAUCACAAAUCAGUAUUGUCUGCAAUAAUGCCUUCUCUUGUAGCCAAAAGAAUGUAUGUUUGACCCAUUUUAUCUCUAUAGACCUGUGAUCAGUGGCAAUCGGCGUCGUCUGGGAUGAAGACAUGCUAUUUUUGCCAUCUGCAUUUCUGUUUUAUCUAUGCAACCUAGAAUUUCUGGACAUGGAGCACAGUAGUUUAUAUGGUUGUAACUUUUAUGAUGUCAGUAUAAGAGUUUGGGCUUAGACUAUUCGCUUCUAUUUGUAGAUGGAUGAUUUCUUGUUGUCGGAGCUGGUUGUGAUGGUAGCUGCUACGGACCUCCCCUGUUGAGUUCAAACUAGUUUUGAUCGCCAUAUUAUCAGCCUGUACUCUGUGAUUUUGCACAAGCGUACUCAGGAUUAUACCUGACAGUGACAAGUUUAACUGAAUCUGUGGACGUCGUAUGGAUUGGAAAUAAUGUUAAAUUUUAACUCUCCCUGAUUAUACCUGAUCGUGGCAAGAUUUAACUGUAUUUGUGGCAAGUACUCCUGAUUAUGGUGUCUGCGGAGAAAUGCUGUUAAACUUGAAUGUUCAUCUCCCAAUUUAUUUUGCUUCUUGUCUUUUUAUGUCAGCCACGUCAAAAAAAUGAAAUCCAUAUAUUUUGUAUAAUCCAGCCUCCUGGAGUUUGUUCCUUCCUAGGUUUUUCUUUAAAGUUUCUUGCUCCGCAACCAGCUCCUACUGUUAAAUCUGUGAAAACUGCAAAAGAAAAUGUCCUACCUGCUUGACAAUUGGCGGCCAACUGCCAAGACCGAAAGCCGAACAGAAUCCUAAUGGACCAAAACGAUUUUAUCAUGUGUCCUAUGCAUCUAUCAUGAAAAUGAUUUUAUCCAUUGUCCUAUACACCUUGGUGGUCUGGUGGCUCGUCUCGAUUCAGCUUUGUUAAGCUAACAAGCUAGCUCGAUUCGCCUCGUUAACAUAAUGAGUCAAGGGUGUGGUCUUUUCGGCUUCUUGGACCGGCUUCUCCUAAAAGAUGCCAUCACCUAGCUUUCUGAAGAAGCUGCGUCACAAAUUUAGCUAGACUUUCAAACUAGUUUAGGCCAAACUAAUUUGGUAGCAUAAUCAAAUUUAGGUGACGGCUUCUCCAAAAAGCUAGAGGAGGGCAGUGACGGCUUCUCCAAAAAGCUAGAGGAGGGCAACUUCUCAAAGAAGCCGGUCCAGGAAGCCGAAAAGAACCGACCCUUAAUUUGUUAAACUCAUUAAGCUUGGUAACAAAAUUGAACAUGUAUGCUUACUUUGUAAGCAUGUGGUACAUCUAUGUAUACAUAUGAACUAGCAUGAUUAAAAAUGAACAGAUUUGAGUUCACAACGGUCAACUUAAACAACUCAAUAUGACUAUAUGAUCAUUCAUGUGCUGGGAGCAUAGGAUUAUAAGAACCGAGUUAAAUGAGUAACUCGUUACUUGACUCUUUAAAUUUGUUUUCGCUAACGAGUUGAAAUCCAAACUCGGCUUGACUCGUUAGACUACGAAUUCGAGCCGAGUCGAGUCGACUAUCGGGUCGUCGAGGCAUCUCAACGCCGUUGAACAUGGUGUUGUUGGUAUGUUGGACUUCAAUGCUAUGGUGGUGGAGUACUGGAGUUGAGUCGAGGAUUCAGAAAUUAAACUUUUGGAGAGGGAUCAUUUAUGCUGAAGUUUCUGACAACAGUCAAAAUCGUGAUUUUUCAUGUCUGCGACACCUUUAGACUGCAUUAACUUGUUGAUUUGGCACAAUGCAAUGUGCUAAGAACAAUUAUAAAUCCUUCAUUGGGUACAAAUUUGCAAACUAUCACCACGUGGACCAUAAACCGUGCGGCAGAUCAAGGUGGCAAUGAAACAUUACCGAGCGUGAGAUAAGUGCAGGUUAUGUGAAAAACGUGUUUAAGUGGCGUUUGAUUCCCACCUUUGAUUUGCACGACACGGUUUAGACUCGACAGUUCAGGGGAAGAGCUUGCAAAGUUGCACCGAACGAAAGUUUGCACUUGAUACAUCGACAUAUCAUGUGAAAACGUGAAAACUUUCAAUCCUCGUCAUCGGAUCUCAAAUAAAUGGAUCCGAUGAAAGGAAGCACCUCUAAUCACUUAAACAUGUUUUAUAAAAACAACCCCAUGUGAUUAGAGGUUUAAGGCUUUUUUUGAAAAUGUCUAAGGUUUUCCAUAAAAUGCUCUUAAGUAAUUUGAUGUUCCACCUUUCAUCGGAUCCAUUUAUUUAGAAUUUAAUAAUGGAUAGGACUGAAUAGAGAUUUUCACCAAGUAGUACCUGGGUAUUGUUCUGCUAGUUCAUUAAAUAAGAAAAAAAAAUGGUCACUGGUGUCAUUAUAAAUCACAGUAUAGUAAUUUGGCCAUAAUUUGUUACUCCCUCCAAUAUUUAAAAAUGUAAAUUGGGUCAGUAGUGGAUGUAAAGCUGACACCAAUGGUGGCUCCACACCACCAUAAAAUGGUGCAGAACCGUGGGGAUUCUGUAAAGAGCUACUCCGUAGUUCCGUUUGAUUCUAGCACCGAGAAGAUGUAACUCUUCAAUAUUUAAAAAACAGAAACUAAUGUAAAGCUAAAUGGCGCUUCCAACGCAGCAAACCAUGUAGAGAUCAAAUUGCUCCGCCAUAUUUCUGUUCAGCAGGUCACAUUUGUUCUUACAAACAAAAUCGCUGCAGCUGCUAACACGCACUAGAAAUAAAGCUUGGAUAAGAAGGAACUUGCAACAGUUGGAACGAACUCGGUUCUCCAUCUUUCACAUUCUUCACAACUCAACAAGCAGAAUUUAACCAGCAGGACUUCGAGAACACUUCUGAUCAAAAAGUGACAAGCUCAUAUUCAAUAAGUGAAAAAUUGUUGUCCUCCUUCACGUUGAAGUUUGCCGGUUCAGUGACUUCAACGAGGCCCCAUUUGUCCACAGCAAAGCCUCAUUGUUGUCCCUUUGAACAUAUCAAUCUUUGCAUUGCAGAGAAUAAC
This 9310-nucleotide long non-coding RNA is filed under the name Brachypodium distachyon (stiff brome). RNAcentral describes it as "long non-coding RNA (BDIS_LNC002634)". Lineage: Eukaryota; Viridiplantae; Streptophyta; Magnoliopsida; Poales; Poaceae. The record is from RNAcentral.